GCCGGGAUAGCUCAGUUGGUAGAGCAGGGGACUGAAAAUCCUCG
RNAcentral lists this transfer RNA (44 nucleotides) under Spruceanthus planiusculus. Its description in RNAcentral is "Archilejeunea planiuscula partial tRNA-Phe". It matches the Rfam family "tRNA", at positions 1 to 43 of the family's 71-position model. Rfam says of the family: Transfer RNA (tRNA) molecules are approximately 80 nucleotides in length. Their secondary structure includes four short double-helical elements and three loops (D, anti-codon, and T loops). Lineage: Eukaryota; Viridiplantae; Streptophyta; Jungermanniopsida; Porellales; Lejeuneaceae. RNAcentral also lists the same sequence under 8 other names. The record is from RNAcentral.